This 460-nucleotide ribosomal RNA is filed under the name uncultured bacterium. RNAcentral describes it as "partial 16S ribosomal RNA". It matches the Rfam family "Bacterial small subunit ribosomal RNA", at positions 338 to 795 of the family's 1533-position model. The record is from RNAcentral.
CCUACGGGGGGCAGCAGUGAGGAAUAUUGGUCAAUGGGCGCGAGCCUGAACCAGCCAAGUAGCGUGAAGGAUGACUGCCCUACGGGUUGUAAACUUCUUUUAUAAAGGAAUAAAGUGAGGCACGUGUGCCUUUUUGUAUGUACUUUAUGAAUAAGGAUCGGCUAACUCCGUGCCAGCAGCCGCGGUAAUACGGAGGAUCCGAGCGUUAUCCGGAUUUAUUGGGUUUAAAGGGAGCGUAGAUGGGUUGUUAAGUCAGUUGUGAAAGUUUGCGGCUCAACCGUAAAAUUGCAAUUGAUACUGGCAGUCUUGAGUACAGUUGAGGUAGGCGGAAUGCGUGGUGUAGCGGUGAAAUGCAUAGAUAUCACGCAGAACUCCGAUUGCGAAGGCAGCAUACCGGCGCCCGACUGACACUAAGGCACGAAAGCGUAGGGAGCAAACGGGAUUAGAUACCCGUGUAGUC